AUUGAACGCUGGCGCAGGCCUAACACAUGCAAGUCGAGCGGUAGAGAGAAGCUUGCUUCUCUUGAGAGCGGCGGACGGGUGAGUAAUGCCUAGGAAUCUGCCUGGUAGUGGGGGAUAACGUUCGGAAACGGACGCUAAUACCGAAUACGUCCUACGGGAGAAAGCAGGGGACCUUUGGGCCUUGCGUUAUCCGAUGAGCCUAGGUCGGAUUAGCUAGUUGGGGAGGUAAGGGCUCACCAAGGCGACGAUCCGUAACUGGUCUGAGAGGAUGAUCAGUCACACUGGAACAGAGACACGGUCCAGACUCCUACGGGAGGCAGCAGUGGGGAAUAUUGGACAAUGGGCGAAAGCCUGAUCCAGCCAUGCCGCGUGUGUGAAGAAGGUCUUCGGAUUGUAAAGCACUUUAAGUUGGGAGGAAGGGUUGUAGAUUAAUACUCUGCAAUUUUGACGUUACCGACAGAAUAAGCACCGGCUAACUCUGUGCCAGCCGCCGCGGUAA
This 499-nucleotide ribosomal RNA is filed under the name uncultured bacterium. RNAcentral describes it as "partial 16S ribosomal RNA". It matches the Rfam family "Bacterial small subunit ribosomal RNA", at positions 30 to 523 of the family's 1533-position model. The record is from RNAcentral.